This 435-nucleotide ribosomal RNA is filed under the name Eimeria necatrix. RNAcentral describes it as "partial 23S ribosomal RNA". It matches the Rfam family "Bacterial large subunit ribosomal RNA", at positions 1280 to 1811 of the family's 2925-position model. Lineage: Eukaryota; Apicomplexa; Conoidasida; Eucoccidiorida; Eimeriidae. The record is from RNAcentral.
AAAUAGAAGUGAAAAUGUCAGCUUAAGUAGCAUAAAUAUUAGUAAAAAUCUAAUACUCCGAAAGCUUAAAAGUUUUCUACGAAAGGAUAUACCACGUAGAUAAAGUCGGGGCCUAAAAUUAGAUUAAAUAUGUAAUUGAUGGGUAAUAAGGUUAAAUUUCCUUUACUGUAAAUAUAUAUAACAAAUAGUGACCUAUAAUUUUUAUUAUAUUUUUAUAAUAUAGUUUUUAAUAUAUUAAAAAUAUAUAGCUAGAAAAAUGUAUAUGUUAAAAUAUAUUAUCACCCGUACUAAAACUGACACAAGUAAGCAAGUAUAAAUAUACUAAGGAGUACGAAAUAACUUUUUCUAAGGAACUCGGCAAAAUAAUCCUGUAACUUCGGAAAAAAGGAUGUCCAAAGGACUGCAAUAAAGAGAUCCAAGCGACUGUUUAUCAAA